Molecule: long non-coding RNA, 797 nt
Filed under: Cavia porcellus (domestic guinea pig)
Lineage: Eukaryota; Metazoa; Chordata; Mammalia; Rodentia; Caviidae
Description: lncRNA (ENSCPOG00000039962.1)
Source: RNAcentral
GGUAGACUUAUCAAAUCCAUAUGCUGUGGCAACUGUUUUAAACCAAGAACCAGGAAAACUGAGGAUUAAAGAAUUAAGAGAAGUUUUGGACCAAGGCACAGAGACGUCAAAAACAAGACAGAUGAAGGAGGCGCUCUUUGAACAGAAAGUCAGACAAACCGCUUAUGAAGAGAUGGAAAAUCACCUUAAAUGGCAGGUGCACCUUGGGAAAGAUCAUAUGUCUUUCAAAUUUAGAAAAGAGCUUAUUGAGGAGCAGCAAAGACUCUACACCAACUAUAAGUUAGAUAGAGGAGAUCCUGUACCGGAAGAGGAAUUUCAGCGACUCAAGACAGAAGUUAACCAUAAACGGGUUGUUCGCAAUCUAGAAGAGAAUGCCAUAGAUUUGAAACCUAAUUUUGACCCACUUGUUAAUAAUAAUUGGCUCAGCAGGUUCAGAGCACAAAGGCAAUUUCAACAAGCAGUGUGCAAGAUCAUGCUUCAGCAACGGUUACUAAGAACACUAACAGCGGUCCGUAAAAUAGACAGAGAGGGUAUACUACAAAAGCAAUAUCAAGUAAAGCAAUCAUUAAUGCAAGACAAGCAUCCCUGCAAGUCCUGGCAGUCAGGAGCCAGUCAGGAGGAUUGCUCUUGCCGGUUGUCAGUGUCACCCAAGGAAGUGCUGCCCUUCACCUUCCCAUCCUACAACCCUCCCCAGGACUCCAGUGAGCUGGUGGGUGCCAUCUUGCUGUGGGAGGGGCUGGCACCAUCUCAGGUUGCUGGGCAGACUACUGGAGAAGCCCUGCAUUGGUGACUUCUCC